RNAcentral lists this ribosomal RNA (1346 nucleotides) under uncultured bacterium. Its description in RNAcentral is "partial 16S ribosomal RNA". It matches the Rfam family "Bacterial small subunit ribosomal RNA", at positions 28 to 1381 of the family's 1533-position model. The record is from RNAcentral.
GACGAACGCUGGCGGCGUGCUUACCACAUGCAAGUCGAACGGAAAGGCCCUGCUUUUGUGGGGUGCUCGAGUGGCGAACGGGUGAGUAACACGUGAGUAACCUGCCCUUGACUUUGGGAUAACUUCAGGAAACUGGGGCUAAUACCGGAUAGGAGCUCCUGCUGCAUGGUGGGGGUUGGAAAGUUUCGGCGGUUGGGGAUGGACUCGCGGCUUAUCAGCUUGUUGGUGGGGUAGUGGCUUACCAAGGCUUUGACGGGUAGCCGGCCUGAGAGGGUGACCGGCCACAUUGGGACUGAGAUACGGCCCAGACUCCUACGGGAGGCAGCAGUGGGGAAUAUUGCACAAUGGGCGGAAGCCUGAUGCAGCAACGCCGCGUGCGGGAUGACGGCCUUCGGGUUGUAAACCGCUUUCGCCUGUGACGAAGCGUGAGUGACGGUAAUGGGUAAAGAAGCACCGGCUAACUACGUGCCAGCAGCCGCGGUGAUACGUAGGGUGCGAGCGUUGUCCGGAUUUAUUGGGCGUAAAGGGCUCGUAGGUGGUUGAUCGCGUCGGAAGUGUAAUCUUGGGGCUUAACCCUGAGCGUGCUUUCGAUACGGGUUGACUUGAGGAAGGUAGGGGAGAAUGGAAUUCCUGGUGGAGCGGUGGAAUGCGCAGAUAUCAGGAGGAACACCAGUGGCGAAGGCGGUUCUCUGGGCCUUUCCUGACGCUGAGGAGCGAAAGCGUGGGGAGCGAACAGGCUUAGAUACCCUGGUAGUCCACGCUGUAAACGGUGGGUACUAGGUGUGGGGUCCAUUCCACGGGUUCCGUGCCGUAGCUAACGCUUUAAGUACCCCGCCUGGGGAGUACGGCCGCAAGGCUAAAACUCAAAGGAAUUGACGGGGCCCCGCACAAGCGGCGGAGCAUGCGGAUUAAUUCGAUGCAACGCGUAGAACCUUACCUGGGUUUGACAUGGAUCGGGAGUGCUCAGAGAUGGGUGUGCCUCUUUUGGGGUCGGUUCACAGGUGGUGCAUGGCUGUCGUCAGCUCGUGUCGUGAGAUGUUGGGUUAAGUCCCGCAACGAGCGCAACCCUUGUUCACUGUUGCCAGCACGUUAUGGUGGGGACUCAGUGGAGACCGCCGGGGUCAACUCGGAGGAAGGUGGGGAUGACGUCAAGUCAUCAUGCCCCUUAUGUCCAGGGCUUCACGCAUGCUACAAUGGCUGGUACAGAGAGUGGCGAGCCUGUGAGGGUGAGCGAAUCUCGGAAAGCCGGUCUCAGUUCGGGUUGGGGUCUGCAACUCGACCUCAUGAAGUCGGAGUCGCUAGUAAUCGCAGAUCAGCAACGCUGCGGUGAAUACGUUCCCGGGGCU